Long non-coding RNA from Pseudophryne corroboree (corroboree frog), 930 nucleotides. RefSeq lists it as uncharacterized. The transcript is spliced from 3 exons. The record is from RefSeq and is a predicted model, not a curated record. Lineage: Eukaryota; Metazoa; Chordata; Amphibia; Anura; Myobatrachidae.
GAUGGCGGCAGCAGGGUUGCCACGGACAUUUAACUUAUUUCUGCGCCCUUUUUCCCCUCUACAAAAUACAGCCUGGCUAAAUGCUUUGAGACUUCAGCAAGGAAAGGGUUAAGAACAUUUUCUAUGCUAUAGCUGUCAUGCGCUUGGACAGUUAACAGCCGUGUGCCGAGUCUGUUGGCAGUUGGGCGGCGGCCAUCAGGAGGAUGGGCAGAGUGAAACAGGACCUAGGAGCAGAAGGUGCUGAGCUGAUUUGGUGGUGUACAUGGUGACCAAAGGAGACUCCUUACCUGAUCUUCAAUAAAUCAGAGUCCAGCAGCUGACAAAGAGAGUGUCUAUGGAGUGGCAAAAGGUCUGGAGUUGAAGUGUUGUAUUUGCAUUUGGAAACUGUUGCUCUGAACCCACAACAUUCUGUCAGAAGAGCUCUCAAUGCAAGUGAAACAGGCCAUCCAAAGGCUACAGAAAGAAAAACAAUCCAACAGAGAGAUAGCAGGAACCUUAGAGGUGGCCAAAUCAACAGUUUGGUACAUUCUGAGGGAAAAAAGAAUGCACAGGUGGACUUGGCAACACAAAAAGGGCUGGACUUCCAUGGAAGACAACAAUGGUGGAUGAUUGCAGGAUGCUUUCCAAGAUGGACAAUGACCCAAAACAUACUGCGAAAGCAACCAAGGAGUUAUUUUAAGACAACGCAGUGGCCAAGUCAAUUACCUCAUCUCAAUCCAACUGAACAAGCAUUUUACUUGCUGAAGACAACACUAAAGGCAGAAGGACCCACGAACAAACAACUGAAUACAUCUGCAGUAAAAGCCUGGAAAAGUAUAACAAGGAAGGAAAUCCAGCAUUUGGCAAUGUCUGUGGGUUCCAGACAUCAAUGCAGUCAAUGACUGCAAAGAAUUCUUGAAAAGUAUUAAAAAUAAACAUUUUAUAAAUGUC